This 110-nucleotide microRNA precursor is filed under the name Ixodes scapularis (black-legged tick). RNAcentral describes it as "microRNA isc-mir-5309 precursor". The record is from miRBase by way of RNAcentral. Lineage: Eukaryota; Metazoa; Arthropoda; Arachnida; Ixodida; Ixodidae.
GAGAAGGAAAGCGCCCGGAGUUCCGAGGUUUCCACGGCGCAUCCGCCUCUAGGCUCGGCAGCCGGCAAUGCCCAUGGAAACCCCGAAUCUCCGGUUAGCUCCAUCAACGG